GGUUCCAUGGUCUAGUGGUUAGGACAUUGGACUCUGAAUUCAGUAACCCGAGUUCAAAUCUCGGUGGAACCU
RNAcentral lists this transfer RNA (72 nucleotides) under Sphenostylis stenocarpa. Its description in RNAcentral is "tRNA gene-AYBTSS11_LOCUS28124". It matches the Rfam family "tRNA". From Rfam's summary of the family: Transfer RNA (tRNA) molecules are approximately 80 nucleotides in length. Their secondary structure includes four short double-helical elements and three loops (D, anti-codon, and T loops). The record is from RNAcentral. Lineage: Eukaryota; Viridiplantae; Streptophyta; Magnoliopsida; Fabales; Fabaceae.